UUGACCAAGGGAAGUGUUGUGAGGAAGAAGAUUCCACUGCUUAUUCUCUGCAACAAAACCGACAAAGUCACUGCUCACACCAAAGAAUUUAUCCGCAAACAAAUCGAGAAAGAAAUGUAUGGCUUCAAGUCCUUAAAUUUGUUUACCUUUACUCAUUUGAUCACGCAGCAACUACUUCAUCCUUUCAUUUUAUUAUAUAUGAUGCACAUUCAUUUGCUGUUGCUGUUGAUUGGCUUUUAUUGAAGAAACGUAUUAUACUUUUUUUCAACCACUCAAAUCCUUCUACCUUCUCUCAUGGCUAAUGGUCUUAACACCCAGUCAAAUG
This 325-nucleotide long non-coding RNA is filed under the name Medicago truncatula (barrel medic). Its description in RNAcentral is "long non-coding RNA (MTRU_LNC003018)". Lineage: Eukaryota; Viridiplantae; Streptophyta; Magnoliopsida; Fabales; Fabaceae. The record is from RNAcentral.